This 72-nucleotide transfer RNA is filed under the name Camelus bactrianus (Bactrian camel). It matches the Rfam family "tRNA". From Rfam's summary of the family: Transfer RNA (tRNA) molecules are approximately 80 nucleotides in length. Their secondary structure includes four short double-helical elements and three loops (D, anti-codon, and T loops). Lineage: Eukaryota; Metazoa; Chordata; Mammalia; Artiodactyla; Camelidae. RNAcentral also lists the same sequence under 2 other names. The record is from Rfam by way of RNAcentral.
GAGGGUAUAGCUCAGUGAUAGAGUGCAGACCUAGCAUGCAUGAGGUCCUGGGUUCAAUCCCCAGUACCUCCU